AUAUAACCAGAAAAUCUCAAAUCAUAACUCAUAAUAAUCUCAUAACAUGUGGAGAGCAAGAAACUUUUAUUUAAAACAUCCAGUGUUGAACCAAUGAUAGAAAUUGAAAUGAAAUAAUUGAUACUACAGUGUAUAUGUGUAAUUACACCAAACUAAGGCUUUGAAUGGAUGUUGUGGUUAGUGCGGACUAAUCUGUCAGCGGUCCAGUCCAUAUUAUUUGUGGGGCGGACAACAAACUGCUACAGACUUAGUUUAAAGACGGUCCGCAGUUAGUCCGCAGCGAUUUUCUUUUAUUUUUUUUGGGUCCGUAUCAUAACAGAGUAUAGUUUAUGAAUAGUAAACAAAAAGCGGUCUGGUCUAUAGACGGUUUGUCCGCUUGAACCGUUAUAACUAUUCAAAGCCUAACUAUUAAAUCAGAGAAAAAAAUCUAACACAAUUA
RNAcentral lists this small RNA (439 nucleotides) under Arabidopsis thaliana (thale cress). RNAcentral's name for it is "ATSL025270". The record is from RNAcentral. Lineage: Eukaryota; Viridiplantae; Streptophyta; Magnoliopsida; Brassicales; Brassicaceae.